RNAcentral lists this ribosomal RNA (253 nucleotides) under uncultured bacterium. RNAcentral's name for it is "partial 16S ribosomal RNA". It matches the Rfam family "Bacterial small subunit ribosomal RNA", at positions 524 to 776 of the family's 1533-position model. The record is from RNAcentral.
UACGUAGGCAGCGAGCGUUGUUCGGAUUUACUGGGCGUAAAGCGUGCGUAGGCGGUGGUCCAAGUCUGGUGUGAAAUCUCCCGGCUUAACUGGGAGGGUGCGCCGGAAACUGGGCCGCUGGAGUACGGGAGAGGCAAGCGGAAUUCCAGGUGUAGCGGUGAAAUGCGUAGAUAUCAGGAAGAACACCCGUGGCGAAGGCGGCUCUCUGGAACGCAACUGACGCUGAGACGCGAAAGCGUGGGGAGCAAACAGG